RNAcentral lists this transfer RNA (87 nucleotides) under bacterium. RNAcentral describes it as "tRNA-Ser". It matches the Rfam family "tRNA". From Rfam's summary of the family: Transfer RNA (tRNA) molecules are approximately 80 nucleotides in length. Their secondary structure includes four short double-helical elements and three loops (D, anti-codon, and T loops). Further hydrogen bonds mediate the characteristic L-shaped molecular structure. tRNAs have two regions of fundamental functional importance: the anti-codon, which is responsible for specific mRNA codon recognition, and the 3' end, to which the tRNAs corresponding amino acid is attached (by aminoacyl-tRNA synthetases). tRNAs cope with the degeneracy of the genetic code in two manners: having more than one tRNA (with a specific anti-codon) for a particular amino acid; and 'wobble' base-pairing, i.e. permitting non-standard base-pairing at the 3rd anti-codon position. The record is from RNAcentral.
GGAGGAGUGGCCGAGUGGUUGAAGGCGCCGCUCUCGAAAAGCGGUAUACCCGAAAGGGUAUCGUGAGUUCGAAUCUCACCUCCUCCG